RNAcentral lists this ribosomal RNA (253 nucleotides) under uncultured bacterium. RNAcentral's name for it is "partial 16S ribosomal RNA". It matches the Rfam family "Bacterial small subunit ribosomal RNA", at positions 524 to 776 of the family's 1533-position model. The record is from RNAcentral.
UACGGAGGGUGCAAGCGUUGUCCGGAAUCAUUGGGCGUAAAGAGUUCGUAGGUGGUUUGUUAAGUCUGGUGUUAAAGCCCGAAGCUCAACUUCGGUUCGGCAUCGGAUACUGGCAGACUAGAAUGCGGUAGAGGUAAAGGGAAUUCCUGGUGUAGCGGUGAAAUGCGUAGAUAUCAGGAGGAACAUCGGUGGCGUAAGCGCUUUACUGGGCCGUAAUUGACACUGAGGAACGAAAGCCGGGGUAGCAAAUGGG